RNAcentral lists this ribosomal RNA (495 nucleotides) under uncultured bacterium. Its description in RNAcentral is "bacterial SSU rRNA". It matches the Rfam family "Bacterial small subunit ribosomal RNA", at positions 30 to 518 of the family's 1533-position model. The record is from RNAcentral.
AUUGAACGCUGGCGGAAUGCUUUACACAUGCAAGUCGAACGGCAGCACGGACUUCGGUCUGGUGGCGAGUGGCGAACGGGUGAGUAAUACAUCGGAACGUGCCCGGACGUGGGGGAUAACUACUCGAAAGAGUGGCUAAUACCGCAUACGAUCCAAGGAUGAAAGCGGGGGAUCGCAAGACCUCGCGCGUUUGGAGCGGCCGAUGGCAGAUUAGGUAGUUGGUGAGGUAAAGGCUUACCAAGCCCGCGAUCUGUAGCUGGUCUGAGAGGAUGAUCAGCCACACUGGGAUUGAGACACGGCCCAGACUCCUACGGGAGGCAGCAGUGGGGAAUUUUGGACAAUGGGCGAAAGCCUGAUCCAGCCAUUCCGCGUGCAGGAUGAAGGCCCUCGGGUUGUAAACUGCUUUUGUACGGAACGAAAAGCUCUUGCUAAUACCAGGAGUUCAUGACGGUACCGUAAGAAUAAGCACCGGCUAACUACGUGCCAGCAGCCGAC